AUGAGUAGGCUCUCGUUCCGGCCGCGGCCGCUCGACAUCCACAAGAAGCUCCCAAUCCUCAAGUCGGCGCGGGACUUCGAGGACGAUGACCCCACGGUGGCAGCGUUCGCCGCGGCAAGGGUAGGGGUUCUGCUGCGGCACUCCGGCUCGGAGCUCACUGCCGCUGCUGCUGCGACUGACGGCGAGCUUUAUUCCAUGCCGAAGGACCAUGUCGUGUCUGCUUCGGGAAAUUCAACUCCCAGUAAGAAGAAUGCUCAAGAGAUACCAACACCACAGUUUGAUGAUGUGGAGACCUAUGAUAGGGAUUACACUCGCACCUUUGCACAACCAUCAUGUUAUAUACGAGGAAGAGGAGCCAGAGCUGAGAUCGGUGAAUUUGUUGAGUAUGACUUGGAUAACGAAGAUGAAGACUGGCUUGACGACUACAACAAUGAGCGGAAAAAUCUUAACCCUGAAAAGUUGGAGGUCCUCUUAUUCAAGUUGGAAAUUUUGGACCACAAAGCUCGAGAAAGAGCAGGAGCCAUAACACCAACUUUCAUAGGACCUGUUCCAGUUCUCUUGCAGCUCGAUGUUGCUAUGGAGGCUUUGCAGUAUUUAUCUGUUCGGUAUGCUGUUUUCCAAGCUGUAUAUAACUAUUGGAGAGCUAAGAGGGAACGGUGGCAAAAGCCUAUUCUGCGGCGUUUGCAGCCUCCUCCGCCGGUGAAUGAUACAAACCCAUAUAAUGUAUUCAGACCAAGAGAAAAGGCCCAUCGUCUUCAUACAAGAAGGAUGCAAAGACGAGAAAAUAAUAUCCAGUCGUUUGAAAAACUCCGCCUGGUACGGCGCAAUUUGGACCAAGCAAAGGCAUUAAUGGGGGCUCUAAUUAAGAGGGAAGAGACAAAGCGGGAGGUCAUGGAAUGUGAGGUCAACCUUCAGCGCGUUCAGAUGCAAUAUAAGCAUGAGGCCCAGCUUGUUGACGAUGGGACUACACUGUCAGGGUUCCAGCAAGCUUCUAGCAGGUUUGGGUCAAGUGAUGAUGAUUAUGCGGAUUCAGAUGACACCGCAACUGAAGAGCCAUAUUUUCGGCAACCUGUUCUCCAUCAUCGGUAUCCUGAUAACAAGCAGUUGGCAAUCCCUACAUUGCGUAUAAAGCGUGAGCCGGGGCUACCGGUGCUAAAAAGGAGGCCUCAGCAGAAUGGCUGGGUAUUUAAAAGGGAUCCUGAGGAGCCAGUAUUGUUAUUCACAAGGCCGCUAGAUCCUGACAAGUUGGUGGCAGCGGGUAUCAAGUUGCCACCAGACCCCCCUAUUGAGAUUGAUGCCACCGUGCCACCAUUUCGGUGCCGAGGGAGAAUUGGCCGAGGUGGACGCAUCAUCUUUGAUCGAUGGAAUCCUCUUCUCCGAACACCAACAUCAAUUGGCCAGGAAACCGCCCAUUUCACACCAUAUGGCCGUAGGCCGCCCUCACCGGAAGGUUGA
RNAcentral lists this ribosomal RNA (1455 nucleotides) under Triticum aestivum (bread wheat). Its description in RNAcentral is "partial small subunit ribosomal RNA". The record is from RNAcentral. Lineage: Eukaryota; Viridiplantae; Streptophyta; Magnoliopsida; Poales; Poaceae.